This 119-nucleotide ribosomal RNA is filed under the name Pteropus alecto (black flying fox). The record is from RNAcentral. Lineage: Eukaryota; Metazoa; Chordata; Mammalia; Chiroptera; Pteropodidae. RNAcentral also lists the same sequence under 1 other name.
GUCUAUGGCUAUGCCAACCUGAACAUGCCCGAUCUCGUCUGAUCUCAGAAGCUAAGCAGGUUCGGGCCUGGUUAGUACUUGGAUGGGAGACCACCUAGGAAGACCACGUGCUGUAAGUG